GACUUGCUUGCCAAGGAUGGAGGCUUGUUCACAUCUGGAGCAGCAAUUGGCGAGGCUGAAGUGGAAACACAAGUUGAGUCUUUGACCAGACCUUAAAUCUGGGGAAAUCUCACCUUAGCUUCUGGGUGCUCAGGUGAUUCAGCAACACAGAGUUCCACCCCUUUCCCUUGUUGCUAGGCAACAACUGUUUGGGUGGGUCCUGAGUAGGAAGGGAGAGAGGUUAUGUCUCCUGUCCUCAAAAGAUUCCUCCAGCUAUGGUAGGGGAAACAGGGUAAUGAUGGGGCCACGUCUUUCCUGCUGACAGGAGAGGAGCUGACCUGUAAGGAUGGUGGCAGGGAAGAAGAAAUUUCAGCCCUGCCUCCUACUCUGCAGCAACUAAUUUCCAUUAGUCUUCGGUUCCUCUACAAGUCCUGGAACGGUGUGGGGUGAGGUCAAGAACAAGCCUGGAGACCCAGAAGGAGCCUACAGAAGUGAUCCCAGGAACUCACCUGAGGGAGGAGGUGUGCAUUGACAACCCUUCAGAACCACGAGGAGCAGAAUCAAAGCCAGAACAUAAUGAGAAAUGAACUUGAUAACUGCAAUUUGGAUCAUGAAUCCUUAUUCCAUUCCUGGCUGGCAGCAGCCAUGACUUGAACUGGAGAGAGAGAGAGAGAGAGAGAGAGAGAGAGAGAGAGAGAGAGAGAGAGAGAGAGAGGAGAGGGGAGAGAGAGGAGAGAAGGACAGGGAGAGGGAGGAGAAAGAAGAGAGGAGAGAGCAGAGAGAGGAGAGAGAGGAGA
This is a long non-coding RNA of Peromyscus eremicus (cactus mouse), 776 nucleotides long. RefSeq lists it as uncharacterized. NCBI's taxonomy places the organism in Eukaryota, Metazoa, Chordata, Mammalia, Rodentia, Cricetidae. The transcript is spliced from 3 exons. The record is from RefSeq and is a predicted model, not a curated record.